Octopus sinensis (East Asian common octopus) is the source of this 1128-nucleotide long non-coding RNA. RefSeq lists it as uncharacterized. The record is from RefSeq and is a predicted model, not a curated record. The transcript is spliced from 3 exons. NCBI's taxonomy places the organism in Eukaryota, Metazoa, Mollusca, Cephalopoda, Octopoda, Octopodidae.
CAAACUCACUACAAGGAUUAUUAUGUUGCCAUCUCUCCCGCUCGUGUGUGCAAAUGGUCACCCUGUCGUGGACUUACGAUCACCCCCACACUGAAUGAAGCCUUAGGCCAGUUCCUUACCUCCACCUUGGACAAUGAAAAGAUUUUACCAAGCAAGAAGCUUCACCUGUAUGAAGUAUCCCAUCCAUCAUGCCUCAGAUGUGUUCAGUAGGGUUCAUAUCUGGUGAUUGGCUUAGCUAUGGAAGCUUUUUAAUGCCAUUCUCUUCCAACCAAUCCUGGGUCUUUUAGUUGUGCAAGAAAGCCCUAUCUUCGAUAAAUAGUGUUAUUUAAUCAUUUUACCCCUGGAGGUUAUAGGAAGAAGAUUUUUCUAUAAUAUGGACACAUAUUUAUCUGAGUUUAUGUAUCCCUCACACUCCACCAUUUCUGAUUGACUAUUGCUCCAAACUGCUCUCCAGACCAUCACAUGUUCCAUUGUUGGCUGCAAUAUAUUCACGUGAAAAUAUUGGUGACUGAUUCUCCAGACCCACAUUCGACCAGUGUCAGAAAAUACAGCAAAUUUGGAUUCAUCAGAGAAUUUGACAGUGUCCCAAAGUGCUAGUGACCUCUCUACCAUCUCACUUGUCCAAUCUUUUCUCCAUUUGAUAUUGGCUGGUCGAAGCAGUGUCUUCUUUCUUGCUGCUCUGCCAUAAUAGCCAAUUUUGCGGAGAUAACUGACAGCUAUUCUGGGACUGACAUCAACUUAUUCUGCUAUAUUGGAGGCCUUGCAAUGAGGAUUAUCUUACACACUUCUCUUAAGAAAGCAAAGUGUUCUGUGAGAGGGCCUUAGUCUACCUGGGUAAGGUGAUAUGGACUACUUUCCCAUUUAGUGAAUUGAAAAAUUACUCUAUUUACUGUAGAAAGUGGAAUCACAAUGUUUUCUGUGGUUUUAGGCUAAGUCAGCCUUGAAAUAGGCGCAGCAUAUGGCCUCUUUGUAAAUUGGACAUUUUUAAGGCUUCUUUUGUACAUGGCAUGAUUAAACAGUUACAUAUAGAACCUGAAACAUAUAAAUGUCAAUUAAUAAAAAAAAUAUAAACCUCUUCAAGUUAUAAUAACCAUAAAACAAUGUGUUAAUGGGUAUCUAUUUACUUUU